Molecule: ribosomal RNA, 525 nt
Filed under: uncultured bacterium
Lineage: Bacteria
Description: bacterial SSU rRNA
Rfam family: Bacterial small subunit ribosomal RNA
Source: RNAcentral
AAUAGAUACCCCGGGUAGUCCACGCCGUAAACGGAUGAGUGCUAAGUGUUAGAGGGUUUCCGCCCUUUAGUGCUGCAGCGUAACGCAUUAAGCACUCCGCCUGGGAAGUACGGUCGCAAGACUGAAACUCAAAGGAAUUGACGGGGGCCCGCACAAGCGGUGGAGCAUGUGGUUUAAUUCGAAGCAACGCGAAGAACCUUACCAGGUCUUGACAUCCUCUGACAACUCUAGAGAUAGAGCGUUCCCCUUCGGGGGACAGAGUGACAGGUGGUGCAUGGUUGUCGUCAGCUCGCGUCGUGAGAUGUUGGGUUAAGUCCCGCAACGAGCGCAACCCUUGAUCUUAGUUGCCAGCAUUUAGUUGGGCACUCUAAGGUGACUGCCGGUGACAAACCGGAGGAAGGUGGGGAUGACGUCAAAUCAUCAUGCCCCUUAUGACCUGGGCUACACACGUGCUACAAUGGAUGGUACAAAGGGCUGCAAGACCGCGAGGUCAAGCCAAUCCCAUAAAACCAUUCUCAGUUCGGA